UUUGGAGAGGAGGCCCCCGCGUCUCAAAGAGUCUUUAUCUUCCCCCAACUUGUCUUGCAGAUUUGAGUCAGCUCUGCCCAGCGCAUAGAAGUUUACCACCAGAGAGGUUAUAGCAAAGGAGAAAACUCAGGCAGCACUGGGAACCGAUCCUGGAACCUUUCCCACAGAACACAAAGAGAAGUUUCAGAGAGGCUAAUGCCUGAGGCACCAGGUUAUUGCUUCAAAAUAAGUAAACGUGUUGGCAGUCGUCACCAGAUGCCAAGCCUUAGAAACUACAGCUAGAGAGAGGCAUUUCCUUCUCCAUGCUGGGCUCCUUGUAGCUUUCUACAGUAUAUAAAAAAAAAGUAAUAUGUGUUUGUUGGGGGAAAAAAAACAGACAUUAUGGAAAAACAGAAAAUAAAAAGUAAGUCUUCUUAUAUUCCAUCUCCCCAAGGAAAAGGAUAAGUAAUUUCUUUUAUAUUCUUCCA
Molecule: long non-coding RNA, 467 nt
Filed under: Dasypus novemcinctus (nine-banded armadillo)
Lineage: Eukaryota; Metazoa; Chordata; Mammalia; Cingulata; Dasypodidae
Description: lncRNA (ENSDNOG00000052257.1)
Source: RNAcentral